RNAcentral lists this ribosomal RNA (473 nucleotides) under uncultured bacterium. Its description in RNAcentral is "partial 16S ribosomal RNA". It matches the Rfam family "Bacterial small subunit ribosomal RNA", at positions 28 to 507 of the family's 1533-position model. The record is from RNAcentral.
GGUGAACGCUGGCGGCGUGCCUAAGACAUGCAAGUCGAGCGGGCCGCGGGGUUUUACUCCGUGGUCAGCGGCGGACGGGUGAGUAACGCGUGGGUGACCUACCCGGAAGAGGGGGACAACCCGGGGAAACUCGGGCUAAUCCCCCAUGUGGACCCGCCCCUUGGGGUGUGUCCAAAGGGCUUUUCUCGCUUCUGGAUGGGGCCGCGUCCCAUCAGCUAGUUGGUGGGGUGAUGGACCACCAAGGCGACGACGGGUAGCCGGCCUGAGAGGGUGGCCGGCCUAAGGGGCACUGAGACACGGGCCCAACGCCUACGGGAGGCAGCAGUUAGGAAUCUUCCGCAAUGGGCGCAAGCCUGACGGAGCGACGCCGCUUGGAGGAAGACUCCCUUCGGGGUGUAAACUCCUGAGCCCGAGACGAAACCCCCGACGAGGGGACUGACGGUACCGGGGUAAUAGCGCCGGCCAACUCCGUG